GAAUUUUAUAUAAGUUUAUUAGAAAAAUUUAGUUUGGAAGUUAUUAAAUUUAUAUUUUAUUGGGAGGAUAGUUAAAUUAAAAAAACUUUAAAUAUUAAAAUCCAUUAAUUUAUGAAUUAAAAAAUAAAGAAUGAUUGAAUAGGUUAAAAUAGAAUUAAUUACCUUAGGGAUAACAGCGUUAUAUUUUUAGAGAGAUCAUAUUAAUAAAAAUGUUUGC
This 217-nucleotide ribosomal RNA is filed under the name Pheidole longiscapa. RNAcentral's name for it is "partial large subunit ribosomal RNA". The record is from RNAcentral. Lineage: Eukaryota; Metazoa; Arthropoda; Insecta; Hymenoptera; Formicidae.